CCUACGUGUGGCUGCAGUGGGGAAUAUUGCACAAUGGGGGAAACCCUGAUGCAGCGACGCCGCGUGAGUGAAGAAGUAUUACGGUAUGUAAAGCCCUAUCAGAAGGGAAGAAAAUGACGGUACCUGAUUAAGAAGCACCGGCUAAAUACGUGCCAGCAGCCGCGGUAAGACGUAGGGGGCAAGCGUUAUCCGGAUUUACUGGGUGGAAAGGGAGCGUAGACGGCAGCACAAGUCUGGAGUGAAAUGCCGGGGCUUAAACCCGGAACUGCUUUGGAAACUGUGCAGCUAGAGUGCAGGAGAGGUAAGUGGAAUUCCUAGUGUAGCGGUGAAAUGCGUAGAUAUUAGGAGGAACACCAGUGGCGAAGGCGGCUUACUGGACUGUCACUGACGUUGAGGCUCGAAAGCGUGGGGAGCAAACAGGAUUAGAUACCCUUGUAGUC
RNAcentral lists this ribosomal RNA (440 nucleotides) under uncultured bacterium. RNAcentral's name for it is "partial 16S ribosomal RNA". It matches the Rfam family "Bacterial small subunit ribosomal RNA", at positions 338 to 795 of the family's 1533-position model. The record is from RNAcentral.